RNAcentral lists this ribosomal RNA (497 nucleotides) under uncultured bacterium. Its description in RNAcentral is "partial 16S ribosomal RNA". It matches the Rfam family "Bacterial small subunit ribosomal RNA", at positions 28 to 507 of the family's 1533-position model. The record is from RNAcentral.
GAUGAACGCUGGCGGCGUGCCUAAUACAUGCAAGUCGAGCGAACGGACGAGAAGCUUGCUUCUCUGAUGUUAGCGGCGGACGGGUGAGUAACACGUGGAUAACCUACCUAUAAGACUGGGAUAACUUCGGGAAACCGGAGCUAAUACCGGAUAAUAUUUUGAACCGCAUGGUUCAAAAGUGAAAGACGGUCUUGCUGUCACUUAUAGAUGGAUCCGCGCUGCAUUAGCUAGUUGGUAAGGUAACGGCUUACCAAGGCAACGAUGCAUAGCCGACCUGAGAGGGUGAUAGGCCACACUGGAGCUGAGCCACCGUCCAGACUACUACGAGAGGCAGCAGUAGGGAAUCUGCCGCAAUGGGCGAAAGCAUGACGGAGCAACGCCGAGUGAGUGAUGACGGUCUUCGGAUCGUAAAACUCUGUUAUUAGGGAAGAACAUAUGUGUAAGUAACUGUGCACAUCUUGACGGUACCUAAUCAGAAAGCCACGGCUAACUACGUG